RNAcentral lists this ribosomal RNA (837 nucleotides) under Elizabethkingia meningoseptica. RNAcentral's name for it is "bacterial SSU rRNA". It matches the Rfam family "Bacterial small subunit ribosomal RNA", at positions 614 to 1465 of the family's 1533-position model. The record is from RNAcentral. Lineage: Bacteria; Pseudomonadati; Bacteroidota; Flavobacteriia; Flavobacteriales; Weeksellaceae.
UGUCGAACUGCCAUUGAUACUGUUAGUCUUGAGUAAGGUUGAAGUGGCUGCAAUAAGUAGUGUAGCGGUGAAAUGCAUAGAUAUUACUUAGAACACCAAAUGCGAAGGCAGGUCACUAAGUCUUAACUGACGCUGAUGGACGAAAGCGUGGGGAGCGAACAGGAUUAGAUACCCUGGUAGUCCACGCCGUAAACGAUGAUUACUCGUUUUUGGGUUUUAUGAUUCAGAGACUAAGCGAAAGUGAUAAGUAAUCCACCUGGGGAGUACGUUCGCAAGAAUGAAACUCAAAGGAAUUGACGGGGGCCCGCACAAGCGGUGGAGCAUGUGGUUUAAUUCGAUGAUACGCGAGGAACCUUACCAAGACUUAAAUGGGAAAUGACAGCUUUAGAAAUAGAGUUUUCUUCGGACAUUUUUCAAGGUGCUGCAUGGUUGUCGUCAGCUCGUGCCGUGAGGUGUUAGGUUAAGUCCUGCAACGAGCGCAACCCCUGUCACUAGUUGCUAACAUUAAGUUGAGGACUCUAGUGAGACUGCCUACGCAAGUAGAGAGGAAGGUGGGGAUGACGUCAAAUCAUCACGGCCCUUACGUCUUGGGCCACACACGUGCUACAAUGGCCGGUACAGAGGGCAGCUACCUAGUGAUAGGAUGCAAAUCUCGAAAGCCGGUCUCAGUUCGGAUUGGAGUCUGCAACUCGACUCUAUGAAGCUGGAAUCGCUAGUAAUCGCGCAUCAGCCAUGGCGCGGUGAAUACGUUCCCGGGCCUUGUACACACCGCCCGUCAAGCCAUGGAAGCUGGGGGUACCUGAAGUCGGUGACCGUAAAAGGAGCUGCCUAGGGUAA